Long non-coding RNA from Portunus trituberculatus (swimming crab), 2147 nucleotides. RefSeq lists it as uncharacterized. The record is from RefSeq and is a predicted model, not a curated record. NCBI's taxonomy places the organism in Eukaryota, Metazoa, Arthropoda, Malacostraca, Decapoda, Portunidae. The transcript has 3 exons.
GCGGGAUGUUCAAACGCUCGUAACGGCCGCUACGAUCACCUUAGCGCUAAAUUUGUCGUAAUCCGCGCGUAACUCGCCUAAGGUAUAUGUUGGAAAGAUCUUGGAGUCGUCGCUACGAUUUUCGGACCGCCAUAUUUGCUUGUAGCGCUAAGUGUCUCGAAGAGCACCCUUACAGUGAUCGUAGGGUGGUUUGUUUACCUCCCGUGGAAUUCUGUACCCACGUUGCCUUGUCAGAGAUGGAGUUACAAGUUGUAUUGCAACAUGAUGUUGCAGUAAACAGGGCCUGGAGACGUGAAAGAAGAUUUAGAGACCGAACAGAUCCAUUUGCUUUUAGUGAUGAACACUUGCUGAGAUAUUACAGACUCCCGAGACAGGAGCUUCUUCAUUGGUGCCAGAAGCUAGAACCAAAAGUUGGCCGAGCAACAAGAAAAUCCCAUGCAGUGCCAUGUCAUUUACAGGUGUUGAUGACAUUUAGGUUUUAUGCCAGUGGGUCAUUCCAAAGUGUGUUGGCAGACACAUGGAUUAACACAAGGAUGUGUCAGCAGAGUCAUCAACAGAGUGACAGAUGUGCUGUAUACGGCGUCACUUAGAGAAACACGGAUGCCAAGAGGACUAGAGGAAGCCAGGGUAACAAAGGAAAUUAUAUGGAAUUGCCAAUUUUCCAAAUGUGAUUGGCAUCAUCGAUGGAACACACAUCCCGAUUGCUGCCCCACCAGUUGAUGAAGAACUCUACAUUAAUAGAAAGAAUUUCCAUUCACUGAACAUACAAGUUGUGUGUAAUGCAGACUACAUUUUUCAAGACUAUUGCUGCCGUUUCCCUGGAAGCACACGAUUCAUUUGUAUGGGAGAACAGCAUCCUCAACAGGAGAUUCCAGCGGGGUGAAUUUGGAGAUGCCUUUCUUCUUGCCCAGGCAGGAAAACUCCUACCCACUCUUCCACUCCUGGAUGAAGUAGUAGUCAACCCUGAUGACAUAGAUGGACCUGUGUUUGUUCCUGCACCAGCUGGUGGUGGAGGACGGGAUGCAAGGGCAAUAGCUGGGAAUGCAAUGAGAAGGCAAAUCAUUGCACAACACUUCUCAUAGUCUGAAAAGGGGGGAUAUAGUUGUGUAAAGUAAGUUUCUAUCAAUAGUUAGUUUUAAUGUGUUGAGCUGUGCUGGUUGUUCCACUGUUGAUGGUGCUUACGAUGUUCAUCAUUCUUGGGACAUAGGAUACCUUCUACAAAUAAGGUAAUGUUAAGAAUAUACAUGAUAGGUUGUUUAUUGCAGUUUACACUGCAUAUAUGAUUAAUUUUGUAAGUACAAAAGUAAAAAAAAUAGGUUCUCCAUUAUAACUAACUGUAUAAUAUCACAUUAUUCAUUUGGUAUGUAUCGUAAUAGGUAACUAUAAUAUCACAUUAUUAAUUUGGUAUGUACUAUCAGAUAGACUAAUUACACAAAUUGUAAUGCACAGCCAGUUAAAAAAAUGUUUACCUGAUUUCUUGACCCACUGCAAUAUUCAACUGUUACUUGUACUUGAGUCACCACUCUAACCCAUUCUUGCAGCAACAUAUUGGCCAUAUAUUUAGUAGCUUUUCUUAAAUACAGCUUCAGUUUCUUGUCCUAGUGGUGUAUUUAGCUCACCAUUACCUUUCCUGUAGUAUUCCUUGUGUCUUAUAUGAAUGUGUAAAUAUUUAUAUUCCCAUGUAGUAACUCCAGGAUUGGAACCCGCACAAUGUGUGUGUGUGUAUACACACAUUGUGUGGGUUCCAGUCGUCGAGUCACUGUAUGGAAAUAUAAAUAUUUACACAUUGAUAUAAGACACAAGGAAUACUACAGGAAAGGUAAUGGUGAGCUAAAUACACCACUAGGACAAAAAACUGAAGCAGUAUUUAAGAAAAGCUACUAAAUAUUAUAAACAAUAGGUAAUUGUUCACCUUCAAAAUAAAUUUACAUCUUUGUCAAAAUAUUAACUGAAAUGUUUGAGGAAAUGCAAAUGUACACUAAAAUUAUUUCAUAAUUAAUAAAUGGUAUUUGGAGGCUAAGUCUGCAUUACAUUCAAACUUUUAGUGCAAAAAGAAUUCAUCAUUAAUAAAUAGGCUACUCCGUAAAAAUAAAUAAAUAUGUCAUUGUACAAAAUAAGAAAAUAAAUGGCACUGUGAAAACAGGUUA